This 787-nucleotide ribosomal RNA is filed under the name uncultured bacterium. RNAcentral describes it as "bacterial SSU rRNA". It matches the Rfam family "Bacterial small subunit ribosomal RNA", at positions 560 to 1339 of the family's 1533-position model. The record is from RNAcentral.
UUAAAGGGUGCGUAGGCGGGUUCGUAAGUGUCGUGUGAAAGCCCACUGCUCAACGGUGGAACCGCACGGCAAACUGCGAGUCUUGAAGAAAUUAGAGGUCGCUGGAACGCUUGGUGGAGCGGUGGAAUGCGUAGAUAUCAAGCGGAACGCCGAAGGUGAAGACAGGCGACUAGGAUUUUCUUGACGCUGAGGCACGAAAGCGUGGGGAGCAAACAGGAUUAGAUACCCUGGUAGUCCACGCCCUAAACGAUGUACGCUGGAUCACGGCGGCUCUGACGCCGUCGGGAUCGUAGAGAAAUUGGUAAGCGUACCGCCUGGGGAGUACGGUCGCAAGACUAAAACUCAAAGAAAUUGACGGGGGCUCACACAAGCGGUGGAGCAUGUGGCUCAAUUCGAAGCAACGCGCAGAACCUUACCUGGGUUUGACAUGGCUGGAUUAGUCGGUGGAAACAUCGAUGACACUCGCAAGAGUGGAACAGUCACAGGUGCUGCAUGGCUGUCGUCAGCUCGUGCUGUGAAGCGUCGGGUUAAGUCCCUUAACGAGCGCAACCCUUGUCGUUAGUUACUAACAGGUAAUGCUGAGGACUCUAACGAGACUGCCGGUGUCAAACCGGAGGAAGGCGGGGAUGACGUCAAGUCCUCAUGGCCCUUACAUCCAGGGUUGCACACGUGCUACAAUGGUGCGAACAAAGCGACGCGAGACCGCGAGGUGGAGCAAAUCGCAAAAAUCGCACCCCAGUUCGGAUUGCAGGCUGCAACCCGCCUGCAUGAAGCCGGAAUCGCUAGU